Non-coding RNA from Aegilops tauschii subsp. strangulata, 389 nucleotides. The record is from RefSeq and is a predicted model, not a curated record. Lineage: Eukaryota; Viridiplantae; Streptophyta; Magnoliopsida; Poales; Poaceae.
CUCGAAUAUCUCUUGUUGCCUUUUCUGCCUCUCUCCUCUCUCUAAGUCUACAAGAAUACACGGAAAGAAAAAACUGGUAGCCACUUUCACUCGUGAUUUUGGUCGAUUUAGAGUUGGAUUUCGAAGAUGGUGAAGUUGAAGAAAAGAUAGAUUAAGGCAUUAUUUCAGCACUUGGAGGAGUCAUUUGGAGUUUUUGGAGUAGGAUUUGCCGUGCAAAGUGAAGUACGAAGGGGAAGAUCGAGGUAAAAUAAUUCAUCUUAGUAGCAAACAAGGAGGAGAUGACGUGAUUGAAGAAAUUGUGUUUCCAUCUUCGCUGUCCCUUUUGAGGUGAUGACCACAUACAUGCAAGUGCUAUUUUCAUACUUUUGAUAGCAGAAAGAAAAAUCCGU